This 496-nucleotide ribosomal RNA is filed under the name uncultured bacterium. RNAcentral's name for it is "partial 16S ribosomal RNA". It matches the Rfam family "Bacterial small subunit ribosomal RNA", at positions 28 to 506 of the family's 1533-position model. The record is from RNAcentral.
GAUGAACGCUGGCGGCGUGCCUAAUACAUGCGAGUCGAGCGAACAGACGAGGAGCUUGCUCCUCUGACGUUAGCGGCGGACGGGUGAGUAACACGUGGAUAACCUACCUAUAAGACUGGGAUAACUUCGGGAAACCGGAGCUAAUACCGGAUAAUAUAUUGAACCGCAUGGUUCAAUAGUGAAAGACGGUUUUGCUGUCACUUAUAGAUGGAUCCGCGCCGCAUUAGCUAGUUGGUAAGGUAACGGCUUACCAAGGCAACGAUGCGUAGCCGACCUGAGAGGGUGAUCGGCCACACUGGAACUGAGACACGGUCCAGACUCCUACGGGAGGCAGCAGUAGGGAAUCUUCCGCAAUGGGCGAAAGCCUGACGGAGCAACGCCGCGUGAGUGAGGAAGGUCUUCGGAUCGUAAAACUCUGUUAUUAGGGAAGAACAAAUGUGUAAGUAACUAUGCACGUCUUGACGGUACCUAAUCAGAAAGCCACGGCUAACUACGG